Long non-coding RNA from Mauremys reevesii (Reeves's turtle), 703 nucleotides. RefSeq lists it as uncharacterized. The transcript has 3 exons. The record is from RefSeq and is a predicted model, not a curated record. Lineage: Eukaryota; Metazoa; Chordata; Testudines; Geoemydidae.
CGACCCAGCAGAACCAGCUGUCUUUCUACUGAGACUUAGCUCUGAAGUUUCAAGGCACAAGUCCUCAGUGAGGACAGUAUUCAAGCGUGAUCCCAAACUUCAGCUCUCGUUGCUUUAGCCUUGUCUACAAAACGUGAGACGAGCACAGCCAUCCUCCAUUAUUAGCACGAAACAAAAAGAACUGCACUCUUAUUGGCCUCCACCAUGUCUGGAGCACACAUGUCGACUGCAUGAAAAGAGGGCAGCGUUCGUAAACUGCAGAGACCCAACAACCUACCAUGGUGACAGCUGCCAGAGACAUCUUUAAACACACCAAAAAUAUGAAAAUCCAAAAGGGUGAAGUCAUAGUGCCCCAUGCAGAUAAAGACAGUGGUGGAGACUGCUUUCAACAGCUAAUCAUUUUUCUAUUCAGUGUGCCUCACAAUGGCCAAGUUCUGACUAGUUCCUACUUGCAUUAGUGAUAAGAAACUCUUCUCUUGUAAUACUACUACUUAGCACUUAUACAGUAUGACAGAUAUUGCAGCCUUGGCAUCUUUGGGAGCCAAUGUAUUAAAUGUAUGAAUUGUUUAUGUCUGAUUGUGCUCUGUUCCAUGGGGAGAGGGUUGUCACAGCUCCUCCAGGAACUAAGAACACAGGGGUGUGAUUAAGGCAAGUCACUGAGACUAAACAACUCUAGAAGGGUACCAGCCCCUGGAGAGAUUCA